Molecule: ribosomal RNA, 253 nt
Filed under: uncultured bacterium
Lineage: Bacteria
Description: partial 16S ribosomal RNA
Rfam family: Bacterial small subunit ribosomal RNA
Source: RNAcentral
GACAGAGGGGGCAAGCGUUGUCCGGAGUUACUGGGCGUAAAGGGCGCGGAGGCGGCCUGCGGCGUCGGCGCUGAAAGCGCCCCGCUUAACGGGGCGAGGCGUGCCGAUACGCGCAGGCUCGAGGCGAGCAGAGGGUGGUGGAAAUCCGGGUGGAGCGGUGAAAUGCGUAGAGAUCCGGAGGAACGCCAGUGGGGAAGCCGGCCACCUGGGCUCGUCCUGACGCUGCGGCGCGAUAGCGUGGGGAGCAAUCCGG